CUGCUCCACUGUGCUCUUCAGCCAUGAGGUGCUGCCUCAGAACAAGCCCAAGAUCCAAAUCCAUCAAGAAAUGAAACAUCCAAGAGGAAGCUCAGAAAAAAUCUACAGAAUACCCAUAAACAUGUAUACUUGAAUUGGAAAAGACUGAAAACAUAAGAGAACACAUUGAAAUCAGCAUAUAUGAAUACUCGUAAGAUUCACUUUAUGUGAAAUUUUUCUAUCAGGAGGAACAGUCAAGAAAGCUAUAGAAUUUUAAUGCCAUUUGCUAAUAUGAAAAUAGAAGCUGAAGGACAGAAGCCUUUCUGGGAGCCAAGUACCGGUGGAGAUAAAAGGCAAUGGAUAAGUUAAUCUGCCAGAGGAAAUUUCAAAGCAUCUCAAUGUUCAGGUUUGAGACAACAACGACCUCAAGUGUCAACUAGAUACUGACAAACCGCAAGAACCACUCACUGACUACCUUUAACCAGAGCAAAGAUGUCCAAGAUUUUACUGAAGACUCUCAGGAUACCCAUGUAUUGAUCUGCAGUAAUUCAGACCAGUAAUUUGUGCUAGAUGUAGGCAGUCAUGCAAGAGAUAAAGCAUACCACAGGACUAAAUGGCAUCUCAUUUCGGUCCAUCCCCUCUGAAGAUUAUACCCUCUAAAGCUGGCCUCCCACCACAUAUACAGGCCUCAUGAUCCUCCUGGACCAAGCCAGAGCCUCUCAGCAGAUCCCAGGAGAUCCUUGUUGAACUCUGAUCCUCUCCAAGCUUGUCACACAAAGCUGUCUCUCACCCACUCCCCCUGUAGUGUAACACUUCAGUCCUGGACCCAGACUCUCUCUCUGGGUGUUGGUCUCAUCUUCAGUCAUGUGAUUGUCACCUCUGUUGCCUCUGCACCUCUUGUAGGACUGGUGUCAGGGCCAGGGGGUGGGCAGCAGGGCCUCUCCUACAUGAGGCUUCAGUGUCUGCAGUGGGAGUGGGCCAACAGCAUUUUAUGCUACAGUUAGAAUAUACAAAAUAUAGUGUAUUUAAAAUGCAACAAUGAAAAAACAAAGAGCCAAGCUUAAAAAUGAGCAAUGGAAGGAAACUGACAUUUCUCCAAAGAUGUAGAAAUACCCUGUACAAGAAAAGAUUUUCAAAAUUAUUAAUCACUAAGAAAAUGCAAAUCCAAACUACAAUACUAUAAAAUUAUAUACCCAUUAGGAUAGCUAUCAUAAAAACAACCUCAGUGAAAUAAGUAACAUUGGCUAGAGCUAAAAUAUUCUCACAGCACUUAUAUUCUGUUUUUCUGGAUCUGGUAAAUAUUAAACACAUCUAGAAGCAAUAUUGGCAAUGGCCUUAUGAUCCUUCUCAAAAUCAGAUAAAAACUCACCUUUGGUGUUUGGCAUUCCAGCCACUCUUCUGAAUACUCAUUAUUUUGUUGUUCUAGGAUAGCUGUCCUUAUCAUCCCCCGCAUAGGAAAACAGUUAACUGUAGAUUGAAAUUUUUCAAAGAUCUCUGAUAAAUAGCCUGUUUUGUACUAAAAGUUGAGUUGCAAAAUACUGAUGGUUGUACUUACAAAGAAAGAAAAUAAUUUAAAUGAAUCACAGAACAAUCUUCACAGAAAAAACUAAAUUCCCCUUUUCCCAAAAUUAAUGUUAUCUCCUAGCUA
Heterocephalus glaber (naked mole-rat) is the source of this 1627-nucleotide long non-coding RNA. RefSeq lists it as uncharacterized. The record is from RefSeq and is a predicted model, not a curated record. Lineage: Eukaryota; Metazoa; Chordata; Mammalia; Rodentia; Bathyergidae.